RNAcentral lists this non-coding RNA (28 nucleotides) under Homo sapiens (human). The record is from RNAcentral. Lineage: Eukaryota; Metazoa; Chordata; Mammalia; Primates; Hominidae.
UCAAUAACAUGACAUCAGCUUUAAAAAC